This is an RNA transcript of Puntigrus tetrazona (Sumatra barb), 2465 nucleotides long. It is a transcript of the gene named centriolar coiled-coil protein of 110 kDa, with no coding region annotated. NCBI's taxonomy places the organism in Eukaryota, Metazoa, Chordata, Actinopteri, Cypriniformes, Cyprinidae. The transcript is spliced from 10 exons. The record is from RefSeq and is a predicted model, not a curated record.
AUGGUUUAUCUUUGAUACUCCUGUUUUACUCUGUUAAAAUGUAAUAAAGUUAUUUCGUGAGGCGUGUGUUCGUUUCCCGGCUGAUUUUAACAAAGGAACGCUUUUAAAACGUGUGUUUAAGUGUCUCUGUAGCAGAAGACAGCAGUGCAUUGUAUUGUGUUGACAUACAUUUUUCUUUUAUGCCAAAAAUCAUUAAGAUAUAAAGUAAAGAUCACGUUCCUUAAAUAGUCUACCGUAAAUGUAUCAAAACGUAUUUUCUGAUUACUAAUAAGCAGCUGAGGACUUCAUUUGAACAACUUUAAAGAUGAUUUUCUCAAUAUUUAGUUUUUUUUUGCUCCCUCAGGUUCCAGGUUUUCAAAUAUUGUCUGAAAUAUACAAAGCAUACAUCAAUAGAAAGCUAUUUAAUGUGUCUUUCAGAGCCAUGGAGAGUUAUGAAGAUUUCAUCCGGAGACAUUAUCACACCGGUGACGAUGAAGAUGAUGAAGACGAGCCACAGACCCCCGUCUCACCUUCAUCGGUGAUCGUGUUUCGUGGAGCUCGAGUUCUUCCUCCUCUGUUAAACGAGCAGCAGAGAGACGAGAUGAGACGACUGAGAGAGACAGCUGUGAGUCUGAUGAAGAGGAGGAGAGAGGAAGAGUCUCGCCCCGGCUUCACCGACGUGAGCGUCAGGCGACACACAGACAGGAGUGAUGACAUCACAGACUGUGACAUCACCUCGCCUGCUCCUCUGACAUCAACCGCUCACGACGGCCGGUCGACCAAUCAGCUGAGAGCUUCUCCAGACGACGGUUCUCUAGAAAACACGCAGGUCACGGUUCUGUUCGAGGGACACGAGCUCCGCUCUCCCGGGCCGUCCGCCACGAUGACGUCAUCAGGCUACGUGACCAAUGACAACACGGCCCUCAGCGGCCGCUUAGAUGCGACGCGGUCAGGAAGUGACAUCAUCAGUCACGCGCCGGUGGACGGAGCGCUUCUAGAGGAGGAAGAGGAGGAGGAGGAGGAGGUCUCAGCGCCGCUUCUGAAGCCCGGAUCAGCACCGUCUGAACCGCACCGACCCAGCCUUCAGAACCUGCUCAAGCAAUCCCAGGAGUACCGGCGGCGCCAGCGGCUCCUGCGCAGUCAGGCCAGAGCCGCAGAGGAGCACAGCCUGUCCGAUAAAGAGAACGAGGAGCUCCAGCCCAAACAGACGCGGAGGAAGGAGCAGGACUCCAAGCAGAGGUUCAGCAGCGUCCCCGCGCCCAGGUUCUGCCUGAGUCCCGUACGCUGCAAAAAGCGCGGCAAGCUCCCGGGUCCGCUUCGGAGAGGCCCGGCUAAACCGGCUCUGACCGGUCGCCGCGACAACGGGCCGCUGAUGUCGUCGCAGACGGAGCAGAUCGCGCAGCUGGAGCUGAACCUGUCCAGCCUCAAAGCGCUGAUCUCGGACCUGGAGACGACGCUCACGCUCUCCCAGGCGGCCGAGGGCGAGCCCAAACCGUCCAGCGGCUCGUCGUACGACGUGGACGUCCCGUCUGACCUGUGGAAGCAGCUGACCCCCGAGGCGGGAGGUCACGAGGUCACGCCCCGGGUCAAACGGAGGCUCCUGAUGAACGAGGACGAGGCGGGUCUCUCCAGCGCACCCCGAGGGCUGCAGUCGUCUGCGCAGACGCAGGAGGAUCAGGUGACGGCUCUGAUGGAGGAAGAGCGCAGGCGUCAGGAGGAAGCACUGCAGUCUCUCUGUCUGCUGACCGCUGUGGUCAGGGGGUUUCUGACCCGUCGUCUCUUACACACUGAACGUGUGUCAGGUCUCGUCAGGAUCAUCACGGACUCGAGGGUGUUUCUCGGGUCGUUUCAGUCUCAGGCGGUCAGCAGCAGACAGGAGGUCAGUCUUCAGGAGCGGGUCACUCUGCAGCUGCGAGCGGCGCGGUGUGAACUCCACCAGAUCUUCUUCAGCUGCAGCUGCUCCGAGCGGAUGAAGAUGAUCCGCUGCGACCGGGAGCUGAGCAGAGAGCGCCGCCGCUCACACGAUAAUAAAGUGAAGGGCUCUCUCUCCGCCGCCACCAGAAAGUCUUUAGAGAGGAAGAAAGUGAUGUGAGUGAAUCAGGCCCUUACUGACCCCCGCUGGGCCACGCGUGGAAAUACAACCACAGCAGGGCAAACAUGACACCACACACUGAACAUCAUAGAAUAAUACCGUUGCAUAUGAAGGGUUCCAGAGGAAGAGGUUCUCUCCGUCCAGUGAGGAGAAGUGGAACCCGGUGCCAAAGAUCUAUCGAGUCUCGAAGACGACGGCGUUCCGCGGAGCUCGAUGAAGCGAGGACAGACUCGUCUCGUUUCUCUGCUGUUUUUAGAUCAACGUUGCCAAUUAUUUUAUCUGGUUUUAUUUAUAUAUAUAUUUUUCUGUACGCCUCGCAGUUUCGCCGCUGCUUUUCCUGCUGGUUUUGUCUUUGCACACGUCAAUAAAUUGCAUUUUGUCAUUUACACGAAAA